CCUACGGGAGGCAGCAGUGGGGAAUCUUGCGCAAUGGGCGAAAGCCUGACGCAGCCAUGCCGCGUGAAUGAUGAAGGUCUUAGGAUUGUAAAAUUCUUUCAGUAGGGACGAUAAUGACGGUACCUACAGAAGAAGCCCCGGCUAACUUCGUGCCAGCAGCCGCGGUAAUACGAAGGGGGCUAGCGUUGCUCGGAAUUACUGGGCGUAAAGGGAGCGUAGGCGGACAUUUAAGUCAGGGGUGAAAUCCCAGAGCUCAACUCUGGAACUGCCUUUGAUACUGGGUGUCUUGAGUGUGAUAGAGGUAUGUGGAACUCCGAGUGUAGAGGUGAAAUUCGUAGAUAUUCGGAAGAACACCAGUGGCGAAGGCGACAUACUGGAUCAUUACUGACGCUGAGGCUCGAAAGCGUGGGGAGCAAACAGGAUUAGAUACCCUGGUAGUCCAGCCGUAAACGAUGAUGNUAGUGUCGGUUGUUACUACUCGUGACGCAGCUACGACAUAAGACAAUCCGCCGUGGGAGGUACGGUCGCGAGAGUAAACGUAACGUAAGAAGUUAGAGUCGUUGAGAGUUGCGACGGACGACGACGAGGGAGGAGG
This 595-nucleotide ribosomal RNA is filed under the name uncultured bacterium. Its description in RNAcentral is "bacterial SSU rRNA". The stretch from base 1 to 511 matches the Rfam family "Bacterial small subunit ribosomal RNA", at positions 338 to 873 of the family's 1533-position model. The record is from RNAcentral.